AUGAUUUAAAUCAUCUGUUUUUUACUAAUGCAUCCAGAAGCUUUUUUUGUGUGUGUGGGAUUAGGCCUUAUCUGCAAAUAAACUUUGGUAGUGAUAUAAUUAUAAGAGAACAAUAAUAUAUUUCUGUAGUCUACCAUUUAGUCCAUGUUUUAUGCACGUUUAGACCAUUGAAUUAAUCUCUGAAACAAUAGAAAUAAAUUCUUUACUAGAAAUAGCUUGCUUUUGCCUUGGCUUUGUGGCAAAGCGACAUUAGGGAACAUAUAUGGUUGUUGUUGAACCUGAUUGCUUUAGCAGCCCUUGGGUUGAUAGUAUCAGGUUCCAGCCUGCCCUGCUAGGUCAACGUGGACCCAGGGCUUUAAAGAGAAAAGUUCAGGGAAAGUUCACUUCUAUUGUUUUACCAUGGUUACAAAACAGAAAGGAAAAAAAAA
This 428-nucleotide long non-coding RNA is filed under the name Homo sapiens (human). RNAcentral describes it as "non-protein coding lnc-MZT1-6:1". Lineage: Eukaryota; Metazoa; Chordata; Mammalia; Primates; Hominidae. The record is from RNAcentral.